CUCCUAGCGUCGCCGCCCCUGCAUCCUCCUGGCCCGCAGCUGAUCUCGCCUCUUUCCGGCGAGAGUCCGACCCGCAACUGUCCGUCGCGCUGCCUUUUCCAUGUCGGCCGCCUCCUUCUCCCCCCUCCACUACGCGCCACCGCCGCCGCCCAUGCGCGGCCUCGAUCCGGUGCCGCCGCCCACCACUACCAAGACCCCGGCCCAUCGCCGCCCACCAGCACGAUGCCCCUCUGCGCACGAAUCCGACCUUCCCUCUCCUCCGGCGCAACCUUCCAUCCCCUCCGGUGCGGCCUGCCCUCUCAUCCGGUGAGCCCUCCUCCAGCGCGCCUGCACUCUGCUCCGUCGGCACAGAGACCGAGCACCUCCUCCUCCAGCGAGCUCCUCCAUCCCCAACUUGUCCUUGAAUGCGGACGCUACACCGCACAGAUUCCUACCCACCGUUCCUCCUCUCUGCUUCUUCACUCUUCACUUCUCUAGAUUUUGGUUGAAUUUCAGCCUGCAUCCCCGACGUAGGGAUGCUCUGGCUCCUCCCCCGCUUGCUGCCAGGUUUGUCUCUCCUUCCUCCCCUACUUGCCGUCUUGUGCAGUGGUGGAUGUGGCUACUUGAUGGAGUGAAGCCGGCCUCCGAGCACUGGUAGUUGCACUGCAACCUGCAAAAAAAAGGAACAACCGCAAGUUCAGAAUCAGAAAAAUGAGAAGUUCAAGAAGAAUAAAGGCACUGCCUUCACUCACAUGCUUGCAAACUACUAGGUUGUAGCUUGUAUGUUGUUUGCAACUAUCUUUAAUUUCUUUAGUAGCUCGUACACAUUUUGCCAAAAUCUAGUACUUUCAGAAUGGUAAAGUUGAUAGUUGGCCUAUAGGGACAACCAUGUUGAUGGCGAUUGAAAAAGGAUUCUGAAAUAAUAUUAUUGAGACUGAAGAUCAAGUUUGAUAAUGCACGACGUUAGAGGA
Triticum dicoccoides is the source of this 950-nucleotide long non-coding RNA. RefSeq lists it as uncharacterized. The transcript is spliced from 2 exons. Lineage: Eukaryota; Viridiplantae; Streptophyta; Magnoliopsida; Poales; Poaceae. The record is from RefSeq and is a predicted model, not a curated record.